GCCGCUGUAGCACAAUGGUAGUGCGUUGCUUUCCUAUAUGGAUGGCACAGGCAAAGGUUGCGGGUUCGAUCCCCGUCAGUGGUU
This 84-nucleotide transfer RNA is filed under the name Termitomyces sp. J132. It matches the Rfam family "tRNA". Rfam says of the family: Transfer RNA (tRNA) molecules are approximately 80 nucleotides in length. The record is from Rfam by way of RNAcentral. Lineage: Eukaryota; Fungi; Basidiomycota; Agaricomycetes; Agaricales; Lyophyllaceae. RNAcentral also lists the same sequence under 1 other name.